GCGGGCGUGGCCGACUUGGGUGGAUUCAGAGCUUUGAAGCUCAGGGCCAGCGGCCCACAGAUUCCAUGAAAUCCUUGAAGGGGACCGGAACUCCAAAGAUCAACCGUGAAGGUGGAGGGAACUAUACAAGAGUGUGAACACUGGGAGGCAGGAAUUUGGAUCACCCUGAAGACUGUCUACCACAGUGUCUAUAAAGGUAAGAUGUAUGUGUGUUUUCUUAUUUUGAGAUUCUAGGUUUUGUUAAUACUCUAA
Molecule: long non-coding RNA, 252 nt
Filed under: Mustela putorius furo (domestic ferret)
Lineage: Eukaryota; Metazoa; Chordata; Mammalia; Carnivora; Mustelidae
Description: lncRNA (ENSMPUG00000032114.1)
Source: RNAcentral